GCUGUCUGACCCAAACUCGGAUUCCCUGGGAAAGAAAGCAGUAUGUAAUCGUAAUGGCUGAGCCAUCCCUCCAGUGCCUAAGGUCACCCAGAAGACAAGCCUCUGGGCAUGUCAGGAGGGAUCGUCUGCAUUAGGGUAACGGAGACGGGAAGAACUGACCACUGUGGGCAGCGCCAUCUCAUGCGCCAUGGUCCUGGCCUGAAUGACAGAGAAAACGAGCUGAGCACCAGCAUGUUUCUACUUCCGACUACAGAUGCCACAUGACCAGCCGCCUCCCCCUCCUGCCGCCACACCUCCUCGUCAUGAUGGACUCUGUCUACAGACUGUGAGCCCUAAUAAACCCUUCCUUCAAGUU
Mesocricetus auratus (golden hamster) is the source of this 355-nucleotide long non-coding RNA. RefSeq lists it as uncharacterized. The transcript is spliced from 2 exons. NCBI's taxonomy places the organism in Eukaryota, Metazoa, Chordata, Mammalia, Rodentia, Cricetidae. The record is from RefSeq and is a predicted model, not a curated record.